UACUGCAAACAGCCCAGUAGUGGUCAAUGCCUGAUCUCGUCUGAUCUCGGAAACUAAGCAGAGUCUGGCCUGGUUAGUUCUUGGAUGGGACAGUGCUGGGAAUACCAUGACCUACAGUGG
RNAcentral lists this ribosomal RNA (120 nucleotides) under Periophthalmus magnuspinnatus. The record is from RNAcentral. Lineage: Eukaryota; Metazoa; Chordata; Actinopteri; Gobiiformes; Gobiidae.